RNAcentral lists this ribosomal RNA (407 nucleotides) under uncultured bacterium. RNAcentral describes it as "partial 16S ribosomal RNA". It matches the Rfam family "Bacterial small subunit ribosomal RNA", at positions 30 to 526 of the family's 1533-position model. The record is from RNAcentral.
AUCGAACGCUGGCGGCAGGCCUAACACAUGCAUGUCGAACGGAGCGGCGGACGAGUGAGUAAUGCCUAUGAAUUUGCCUGGUAGUGGGGGAUCACGUUCGGAAUCGGGCUCCUAUACCGCUUACUAUCAGAGCCGCUUAGGUUGUCUUUGCUAGAUGGUGGGGUAAUGGCCUACCAAGGCGACGAUCCGUAGCUGGUCUGAGUGGAGGAUAAGUCACAAUGGAACUGAGACACGGUCCAGACUCCGACAGGAGGCAGCAGUGGGGAAUAUUGGACAAUGGACGAAAGCCUGAUCCAGCCAUGCCGAGUGUGUGAAGAAGGUCUUCGGAUUGUAAAGCACUUUAAGUUAGGAGGCGUUACCAACAGAAUAAGCACCGGCUAACUUCGUGCCAGCAGCCGCGGUAAUAC